UACGGAGGGAGCUAGCGUUGUUCGGAAUUUCUGGGCGUAAAGCGCACGUAGGCGGGUUUUUAAGUCAGGGGUGAAAUCCUGGAGCUCAACUCCAGAACUGCCUUUGAUACUGAAGAUCUUGAGUCCGGGAGAGGUGAGUGGAACUGCGAGUGUAGAGGUGAAAUUCGUAGAUAUUCGCAAGAACACCAGUGGCGAAGGCGGCUCACUGGCCCGGUACUGACGCUGAGGCACGAAAGCGUGGGGAGCAAACAGG
This 253-nucleotide ribosomal RNA is filed under the name uncultured bacterium. RNAcentral's name for it is "partial 16S ribosomal RNA". It matches the Rfam family "Bacterial small subunit ribosomal RNA", at positions 524 to 776 of the family's 1533-position model. The record is from RNAcentral.